AAUGGACGAAAGUCUGACGGAGCAACGCCGCGUGAGUGAUGAAGGUUUUCGGAUCGUAAAACUCUGUUGUUAGGGAAGAACAAGUACCGUUCGAAUAGGGCGGCACCUUGACGGUACCUAACCAGAAAGCCACGGCUAACUACGUGCCAGCAGCCGCGGUAAUACGUAGGUGGCAAGCGUUGUCCGGAAUUAUUGGGCGUAAAGCGCGCGCAGGCGGUUUCUUAAGUCUGAUGUGAAAGCCCCCGGCUCAACCGGGGAGGGUCAUUGGAAACUGGGGAACUUGAGUGCAGAAGAGGAGAGUGGAAUUCCACGUGUAGCGGUGAAAUGCGUAGAGAUGUGGAGGAACACCAGUGGCGAAGGCGACUCUCUGGUCUGUAACUGACGCUGAGGCGCGAAAGCGUGGGGAGCGAA
Molecule: ribosomal RNA, 411 nt
Filed under: uncultured bacterium
Lineage: Bacteria
Description: bacterial SSU rRNA
Rfam family: Bacterial small subunit ribosomal RNA
Source: RNAcentral